RNAcentral lists this unclassified non-coding RNA (85 nucleotides) under Pseudomonas helmanticensis. The record is from RNAcentral. Lineage: Bacteria; Pseudomonadati; Pseudomonadota; Gammaproteobacteria; Pseudomonadales; Pseudomonadaceae.
UGUAGGAGCUGCCGAAGGCUGCGAUCUUUUGAUCUGUUUUUCUAGAAGCAAGAUCAAAAGAUCGCAGCCUUCGGCAGCUCCUACA